CUUGGNGGUUGUGCCCUUGUGCCGUGGCUUUCGGCGCUNNCGCUUUCNGUCGUCCGCCUGGGGUGUCCGGUCGCAAGAUUAAAACUCAAAUGAAUUGACGGGGGCCCGCACAAGCGGUGGAGCAUGUGGUUUAAUUCGAUGCAACGCGAAGAACCUUACCUACUCUUGACAUCCAGAGAAGCUUGAAGAGAUUCGAGUGUGCCUUCGGGAACUCUGAGACAGGUGCUGCAUGGCUGUCGUCAGCUCGUGUUGUGAAAUGUUGGGUUAAGUCCCGCAACGAGCGCAACCCUUAUCCUUGUUUUCCAGCACUUCGGGUGGGAACUCCAGGGAGACUGCCGGUGAUAAACCGGAGGAAGGUGGGGACGACGUCAAGUCAUCAUGGCCCUUACGAGUAGGGCUACACACGUGCUACAAUGGUAUAUACAGAGGGCAGCAAGACCGCGAGGUGGAGCGAAUCCCAGAAAGUAUGUCGUAGUCCGGAUCGGAGUCUGCAACUCGACUCCGUGAAGUCGGAAUCGCUAGUAAUCGUGGAUCAGAAUGCCACGGUGAAUACGUUCCCGGGCCUUGUACACACCGCCCGUCACACCAUGGGAGUGGGCUGCACCAGAAGUAGAUAGCUUAACCUUCGGGAGGGCGUUUACCACGGUGUGGUUCAUGACUGGGGUGAAGUCGUAACAAGGUAGCCG
RNAcentral lists this ribosomal RNA (686 nucleotides) under uncultured bacterium. RNAcentral describes it as "bacterial SSU rRNA". It matches the Rfam family "Bacterial small subunit ribosomal RNA", at positions 816 to 1502 of the family's 1533-position model. The record is from RNAcentral.